AUUGAACGCUGGCGGCAGGCCUAACACAUGCAAGUCGAACGAGUGGCGGACGGGUGAGUGAUGUCUGGGAACCUGCCCGAUGGAGGGGGAUAACGACUGGAAACGGUAGCUAAUACCGCAUACCAUCGGAUGUGCCCAGAGUGGAGUAGCUAGUAGGUGGGGUAACGGCUCACCUAGGCGACGAUCCCUAGCUGGGCUGAGAGGAUGACCAGCCACACUGGAACUGAGACACGGUCCAGACUCCUACGGGAGGCAGCAGUGGGGAAUAUUGCGCAAUGGGCGAAAGCCUGAUGCAGCCAUGCCGCGUGUAUGAAGAAGGCUUUCGGGUUGUAAAGUACUUUCAGCGGGGAGGCGUUACUCGCAGAAGAAGCACCGGCUAACUACGUGCCAGCAGCCGCGGUAAUUC
Molecule: ribosomal RNA, 406 nt
Filed under: uncultured bacterium
Lineage: Bacteria
Description: partial 16S ribosomal RNA
Rfam family: Bacterial small subunit ribosomal RNA
Source: RNAcentral